CAGGUUAAUUAAGGGUUUAUUUUUUUUAUUUACAAUAAAAAUUUGCUGUUCAAUUCAGCUUUAUCUGA
Molecule: transfer RNA, 68 nt
Filed under: Oliarus cf. filicicola HI01081
Lineage: Eukaryota; Metazoa; Arthropoda; Insecta; Hemiptera; Cixiidae
Description: tRNA-Val
Source: RNAcentral